GAUGAACGCUGGCGGCGUGCCUAAUACAUGCAAGUCGAGCGAACAGACGAGGAGCUUGCUCCUCUGACGUUAGCGGCGGACGGGUGAGUAACACGUGGAUAACCUACCUAUAAGACUGGGAUAACUUCGGGAAACCGGAGCUAAUACCGGAUAAUAUAUUUAACCGCAUGGUUCAAUAGUGAAAUACGGUUUUGCUGUCACUUAUAGAUGGAUCCGCGCCGCAUUAGCUAGUUGGUAAGGUAACGGCUUACCAAGGCAACGAUGCGUAGCCGACCUGAGAGGGUGAUCGGACACACUGGAACGGAGACACGGUCCAGACUCCUACGGGAGGCAGCAGUAGGGAAUCUUCCGCAAUGGGCGAAAGCAUGACGGAGCAACGCCGCGUGAGUGAUGAAGGUCUUCGGAUCGUAAAACUCUGUUAUUAGGGAAGAACAAAUGUGUAAGUAACUAUGCACGUAUUGACGGUACCUAAUCAGAAAGCCACGGCUAACUACGUG
This 497-nucleotide ribosomal RNA is filed under the name uncultured bacterium. RNAcentral's name for it is "partial 16S ribosomal RNA". It matches the Rfam family "Bacterial small subunit ribosomal RNA", at positions 28 to 507 of the family's 1533-position model. The record is from RNAcentral.